RNAcentral lists this ribosomal RNA (437 nucleotides) under uncultured Planctomycetota bacterium. RNAcentral describes it as "bacterial SSU rRNA". It matches the Rfam family "Bacterial small subunit ribosomal RNA", at positions 383 to 810 of the family's 1533-position model. The record is from RNAcentral. Lineage: Bacteria; Pseudomonadati; Planctomycetota.
GUGACGAAGCGACGCCGCGUGGGUGAGGAAGGCCUUCGGGUUGUAAAACCCUGUCAGGAGUUAAGAAAUGUAAGUGCGCUAAUACCGCAUUUACUUGACGAAGGCUCCAAAGGAAGCCACGGCUAACUCUGUGCCAGCAGCCGCGGUAAUACAGAGGUGGCAAGCGUUGUUCGGAAUUAUUGGGCGUAAAGAGCACGUAGGUGGAUUUGCAAGUCAGAUGUGAAAGCCUUCUGUUCAACGGAAGAAUUGCAUCUGAAACUGCAAACCUUGAGUGUAGGAGGGGAGAAUGGAACUUCUGGUGGAGCGGUGAAAUGCGUAGAUAUCAGAAGGAACGCCGGCGGCGAAAGCGAUUCUCUGGCCUAUUACUGACACUCAGUGUGCGAAAGCUAGGGGAGCAAACGGGAUUAGAUACCCCGGUAGUCCUAGCCGUAAACGAU